UUGAAGAGCACACCCAACAAAUACAAUUUCAUUGGAAUAUACAAGCACCAGACGAAAACCCAAUGUUGGCUACAUGUUGAAAUGUAAACCUCACCCUCACUGACCACUACGAACAAGGUCUCUCUUGGGAUUAUGCAGCGGAUGCAGAUGGCUAUGGUACAAUCUGUUGCAAUCCAGGUUACAGGGAAAUCCUCAUUUCAGCUGGAAACAGAUAAAUGGUGCACAAUUCUACAUCAUAAACUCCAUGGUAGCAUGUCAGAGAAUGCACUGUUAGAGAAGGAAGAGGUAAUAUAGUCCAGAUGCAAAAGUGAUGCGACCUUAGAUCUAAAGAGCCUGGCAGAAAAGGAGGUGAUAUGAGUGCAUAUAUAUAUAUAUAUAUAU
Cyprinus carpio carpio is the source of this 381-nucleotide long non-coding RNA. NCBI's taxonomy places the organism in Eukaryota, Metazoa, Chordata, Actinopteri, Cypriniformes, Cyprinidae. The record is from Ensembl.